CGAGGGGUAACCUGCGGAGGGAUCAUUACACAAUACAAUAUGAAGGCUGUCCGCAGCUGGAGUAUUUUAUUACCCUUGUCUUUUGCGCACUUGUUGUUUCCUGGGCGGGUUCGCUCGCCACCAGGACCACCAAAUAAACCUUUUUUAUGCAGUUGCAGUCAGCGUCAGUACAAACAAUGUAAAUCAUUUACAACUUUCAACAACGGAUCUCUUGGUUCUGGCAUCGAUGAAGAACGCAGCGAAAUGCGAUACGUAGUGUGAAUUGCAGAAUUCAGUGAAUCAUCGAAUCUUUGAACGCACAUUGCGCCCUUUGGUAUUCCAAAGGGCAUGCCUGUUCGAGCGUCAUUUGUACCCUCAAGCUUUGCUUGGUGUUGGGCGUUUUUGUCUUUGGUCGCCCAAAGACUCGCCUUAAAGUGAUUGGCAGCCGGCCUUUCUGGUUUCGCAGCGCAGCACAUUUUUGCGCUUGCCAUCAGCAAAACGGCAAUCCAUCAAGCCUCCUUCUCACGUUUGACCUCGGAUCAGGUAGGGAUACCCGCUGAACUUAAGCAUAUCAAUAGGCCG
Molecule: ribosomal RNA, 561 nt
Filed under: Curvularia geniculata
Lineage: Eukaryota; Fungi; Ascomycota; Dothideomycetes; Pleosporales; Pleosporaceae
Description: eukaryotic LSU rRNA
Rfam family: 5.8S ribosomal RNA (bases 192-345)
Source: RNAcentral